This 1254-nucleotide ribosomal RNA is filed under the name Escherichia coli. RNAcentral's name for it is "partial 23S ribosomal RNA". It matches the Rfam family "Bacterial large subunit ribosomal RNA", at positions 1 to 1295 of the family's 2925-position model. Lineage: Bacteria; Pseudomonadati; Pseudomonadota; Gammaproteobacteria; Enterobacterales; Enterobacteriaceae. The record is from RNAcentral.
GGUUAAGCGACUAAGCGUACACGGUGGAUGCCCUGGCAGUCAGAGGCGAUGAAGGACGUGCUAAUCUGCGAUAAGCGUCGGUAAGGUGAUAUGAACCGUUAUAACCGGCGAUUUCCGAAUGGGGAAACCCAGUGUGUUUCGACACACUAUCAUUAACUGAAUCCAUAGGUUAAUGAGGCGAACCGGGGGAACUGAAACAUCUAAGUACCCCGAGGAAAAGAAAUCAACCGAGAUUCCCCCAGUAGCGGCGAGCGAACGGGGAGCAGCCCAGAGCCUGAAUCAGUGUGUGUGUUAGUGGAAGCGUCUGGAAAGGCGCGCGAUACAGGGUGACAGCCCCGUACACAAAAAUGCACAUGCUGUGAGCUCGAUGAGUAGGGCGGGACACGUGGUAUCCUGUCUGAAUAUGGGGGGACCAUCCUCCAAGGCUAAAUACUCCUGACUGACCGAUAGUGAACCAGUACCGUGAGGGAAAGGCGAAAAGAACCCCGGCGAGGGGAGUGAAAAAGAACCUGAAACCGUGUACGUACAAGCAGUGGGAGCACGCUUAGGCGUGUGACUGCGUACCUUUUGUAUAAUGGGUCAGCGACUUAUAUUCUGUAGCAAGGUUAACCGAAUAGGGGAGCCGAAGGGAAACCGAGUCUUAACUGGGCGUUAAGUUGCAGGGUAUAGACCCGAAACCCGGUGAUCUAGCCAUGGGCAGGUUGAAGGUUGGGUAACACUAACUGGAGGACCGAACCGACUAAUGUUGAAAAAUUAGCGGAUGACUUGUGGCUGGGGGUGAAAGGCCAAUCAAACCGGGAGAUAGCUGGUUCUCCCCGAAAGCUAUUUAGGUAGCGCCUCGUGAAUUCAUCUCCGGGGGUAGAGCACUGUUUCGGCAAGGGGGUCAUCCCGACUUACCAACCCGAUGCAAACUGCGAAUACCGGAGAAUGUUAUCACGGGAGACACACGGCGGGUGCUAACGUCCGUCGUGAAGAGGGAAACAACCCAGACCGCCAGCUAAGGUCCCAAAGUCAUGGUUAAGUGGGAAACGAUGUGGGAAGGCCCAGACAGCCAGGAUGUUGGCUUAGAAGCAGCCAUCAUUUAAAGAAAGCGUAAUAGCUCACUGGUCGAGUCGGCCUGCGCGGAAGAUGUAACGGGGCUAAACCAUGCACCGAAGCUGCGGCAGCGACACUAUGCGUUGUUGGGUAGGGGAGCGUUCUGUAAGCCUGUGAAGGUGUGCUGUGAGGCAUGCUGGAGGUAUCAGAAGUGCGAAU